UUCCAGACUCCUACGGGAGGCAGCAGUGGGGGAUAUUGCACAAUGGGGGGAACCCUGAUGCAGCGACGCCGCGUGGGUGAAGGAGUGCUUCGGCAUGUAAAGCCCUGUCAGCAGGGAAGAAAAUGACGGUACCUGAAGAAGAAGCCCCGGCUAACUACGUGCCAGCAGCCGCGGUAAUACGUAGGGGGCAAGCGUUAUCCGGAUUUACUGGGUGUAAAGGGGGCGCAGACGGCGAUGCAAGCCAGGAGUGAAAGCCCGGGGCCCAACCCCGGGACUGCCCUUGGAACUGCAUGGCUGGGGUGCGGGAGGGGCAGGCGGAAUUCCUGGUGUAGCGGUGAAAUGCGUAGAUAUCAGGAGGAACACCGGCGGCGAAGGCGGCCUGCUGGACCGCGACUGACGUUGAGGCUCGAAAGCGUGGGGAGCAAACAGGAUUAGAUACCCGGGUAUA
RNAcentral lists this ribosomal RNA (448 nucleotides) under uncultured bacterium. Its description in RNAcentral is "bacterial SSU rRNA". It matches the Rfam family "Bacterial small subunit ribosomal RNA", at positions 329 to 794 of the family's 1533-position model. The record is from RNAcentral.